This 438-nucleotide ribosomal RNA is filed under the name Triticum aestivum (bread wheat). RNAcentral describes it as "partial small subunit ribosomal RNA". Lineage: Eukaryota; Viridiplantae; Streptophyta; Magnoliopsida; Poales; Poaceae. The record is from RNAcentral.
CCGAGGGGUGGGUCUUACGCUCCUCGGCAGCCAGAUGAUAGGCGUCAGUACAGUACAGGGCGUAGGGUUCCAGUUGACCCCAGAGAGCCAGGCUUCGACGCGCGAUCCAUUAUCGUGCAAGGGUUGGUCGACCGGAACAGAGCCCAUCGAGGCGCACUCGACAGAGAUGUGCCCACGAGCAGUCGAGUACAUGUUUCUGGUCCUGAAUGUUUCAGCAGAGCUAUCAGAGCCGCAGUUAUUCCCCCAAAUUUCAGGUUGGCAACAGGAGUCAGCAAGUUCACUGGUGAGUCUAAGCCUGAAACUUGGCUUGAAGACUACCGAGUGGCAGUUCAGAUCGGUGGUGGGAACGACGAGGUGGCCAUGAAGCAUUUGCCCCUCAUGUUGGAAGGUUCUGCCAGGGCAUGGUUGACUCAAUUGCCUCCUAGCAGCAUUUACACU